RNAcentral lists this ribosomal RNA (314 nucleotides) under uncultured bacterium. RNAcentral's name for it is "bacterial SSU rRNA". It matches the Rfam family "Bacterial small subunit ribosomal RNA", at positions 28 to 334 of the family's 1533-position model. The record is from RNAcentral.
GAUGAACGCUGGCGGCGUGCUUAACACAUGCAAGUCGAGCGAAGCACUUGGAAGUUUUCGGACAGAAGAGUGACUGAGCGGCGACGGGUGAGUAACGCGUGGUAACCUGCCUCAUACAGGGGGAUAACAGUUAGAAAUGACUGCUAAUACCGCAUAAGCGCACAGAACCGCAUGGUUCGGUGUGAAAAACUCCGGUGGUAUGAGAUGGACCCGCGUCUGAUUAGGUAGUUGGUGAGGUAACGGCCCACCAAGCCGACGAUCAGUAGCCGACCUGAGAGGGUGACCGGCCACAUUGGGACUGAGACACGGCCCAA